RNAcentral lists this ribosomal RNA (925 nucleotides) under bacterium. RNAcentral describes it as "bacterial SSU rRNA". It matches the Rfam family "Bacterial small subunit ribosomal RNA", at positions 56 to 1007 of the family's 1533-position model. The record is from RNAcentral.
UGCAGUCGAACGGAAGGCCCUUCGGGGUACUCGAGUGGCGAACGGGUGAGUAACACGUGGGUGAUCUGCCCUGCACUCUGGGAUAAGCCUGGGAAACUGGGUCUAAUACCGGAUAGGACCACACACUUCAUGGUGAGUGGUGCAAAGCUUUUGCGGUGUGGGAUGAGCCCGCGGCCUAUCAGCUUGUUGGUGGGGUAAUGGCCCACCAAGGCGACGACGGGUAGCCGGCCUGAGAGGGUGACCGGCCACACUGGGACUGAGAUACGGCCCAGACUCCUACGGGAGGCAGCAGUGGGGAAUAUUGCACAAUGGGCGCAAGCCUGAUGCAGCGACGCCGCGUGAGGGAUGACGGCCUUCGGGUUGUAAACCUCUUUCAGUAGGGACGAAGCGAAAGUGACGGUACCUACAGAAGAAGGACCGGCCAACUACGUGCCAGCAGCCGCGGUAAUACGUAGGGUCCGAGCGUUGUCCGGAAUUACUGGGCGUAAAGAGCUCGUAGGUGGUUUGUCGCGUUGUUCGUGAAAACUCACAGCUUAACUGUGGGCGUGCGGGCGAUACGGGCAGACUAGAGUACUGCAGGGGAGACUGGAAUUCCUGGUGUAGCGGUGGAAUGCGCAGAUAUCAGGAGGAACACCGGUGGCGAAGGCGGGUCUCUGGGCAGUAACUGACGCUGAGGAGCGAAAGCGUGGGUAGCGAACAGGAUUAGAUACCCUGGUAGUCCACGCCGUAAACGGUGGGUACUAGGUGUGGGUUUCCUUCCUUGGGAUCCGUGCCGUAGCUAACGCAUUAAGUACCCCGCCUGGGGAGUACGGUCGCAAGACUAAACUCAAGGAAUUGACGGGGCCCGCACAAGCGGCGGAGCAUGUGAUUAUUCGAUGCACGCGAGAUCUUACCUGGUUUGACAUGCACAGGACGUACUAGAGAU